Molecule: ribosomal RNA, 673 nt
Filed under: uncultured archaeon
Lineage: Archaea
Description: bacterial SSU rRNA
Rfam family: Archaeal small subunit ribosomal RNA
Source: RNAcentral
CUAUCGGGGUAGAUUAGCCAAGCGAGUCGAGAAAGGUUUUGGCCCUCGGCGAACUCGCUCAGUAACACGUGGAUAAUCUACCCUGGGGAGGAGGAUACUCCCGGGAAACUGGGGUUAAUACUCCAUAGCAAUGAUGCACUGGAAUGUCAUCGUUGCGAAAGAUCCGUCGCCCCAGGAUGAGUCUGCGUCCGAUUAGGUAGUUGUUGGGGUUACUGCCCAACAAGCCGAUAAUCGGUACGGGUUGUGGGAGCAAGAGCCCGGAGAUGGAUUCUGAGACACGAAUCCAGGCCCUACGGGGUGCAGCAGGCGCGAAAACUUUACAAUGCGGGAAACCGUGAUAAGGGGAUCUCGAGUGCCAGCAUAUAAUGUUGGCUGUCCAGAUGCCUAAAAAGCAUCUGUUAGCAAGGGCCGGGCAAGACCGGUGCCAGCCGCCGCGGUAACACCGGCGGCUCGAGUGGUGGCCACUAUUACUGGGCUUAAAGGGUCCGUAGCUUGAGCAAUAAGUCCCUUGGGAAAUUCAGCAGCUUAACUGGUGACAGUUCAGGGGAAACUGUUGUUCUAGGGAUCGGGAGAGGUAAGAGGUACUGCCGGGGUAGGAGUGAAAUCCUGUAAUCCCGGUGGGACCACCGGUGGCGAAGGCGUCUUACCAGAACGACUCCGACAGUGAGGGACG